Molecule: non-coding RNA, 1104 nt
Organism: Miniopterus natalensis
Lineage: Eukaryota; Metazoa; Chordata; Mammalia; Chiroptera; Miniopteridae
Source: RefSeq, a predicted model, not a curated record
CCCGGCCCCAGGUCGACCUCCGGACCUCGCGCUUGUCAGGCUAGUUCCAGGCGCCCGCCCCGGGACCCGAAGACCCAGUGGGGACAGGUCCGAACCGGGUCCGCAGCUGGGCUUGGGCCAGGCGCGCUGAAGGAAGAAUGCCAGCCCACCAAUGCAGACAGAAUGGGAGAGGUAGCAAGUGCCCAUCCUGCAGCCCUCGGGGAAACAGGCAGAUCGAGUAGAUUUAAUGCACACAGAGGUGGAGGUGUCCAGCGCUGGCGGGCCACACAGAGCUAACUGUGAAGGAAAACAUUCUUCAUUUUCAAUGGCGACACCUGGCUUCCAGCACCUUAAUGGGAUCAAGUAUGUAACGGGAUCAAGUAUAAGUGUGUAACAGGAGCCACGAUACUGGAUCAACCUGACAGCACCAUGCCGUGGAAUCCAGCACACAAUAGCACCGACGCUGCGCUCCUGCUAAAAACGCUUAAUUUGAAUCAGAGGCCAUGCGUGGAGCCUGCACUUCCCGCUUCCGGAUGAAGAGGGGGUAGAGCAGCCAGGCGACCCACACCGGGCAGAAGCAGUCCUGACAGUGGCCGUUCUAUAGUCGGUUGGCCAGGUCUCAAAAAAGUCAAUGUCAGAAAAAGGGUGAGAAUAGUACAAAAACAACUAAAACGAUGCAACAUUCGUAACAAGCAUGAGCCUGAUCGCGCCCGGGUCACUGACCAUGGUGAGAGACAAGCCGGAGGCCGUUCCAGGGUGACGGAGUAUGAAUGAUGUGACAGGCAUUGCUGAUGUUACAAGGUGUGACAGCACAGUGCUUCUCUGGAUAUUCCCGCUGAACUGCUGGAGGGUGAAAUGUGUUGAUGUUUAUAAAUUAUUCUGCAAAAUCAAUAUAUACACAUAAAGCUGAUCUGACAAAAUGUUAGCAAUCUGGGUGGUGGAUAUGGGGAGGAAGUUGUACAAUGUGUUCCCUUUCUUCGUAUGUUUAAAAAAAAUUCAUCAUAAAAAUUGGAGAAAACUAAAAUGUCCGGUGCUAAAUAACUUCAGUAUUUCUCCACCUCUGAACUUGGGCUAUCAACUCAAAUCUAGGCUUAUGGGAAUAAAAUAAAAAGAUAGUAUGAUUUA